Molecule: ribosomal RNA, 598 nt
Filed under: uncultured bacterium
Lineage: Bacteria
Description: bacterial SSU rRNA
Rfam family: Bacterial small subunit ribosomal RNA
Source: RNAcentral
UAAAGAUUCAUCGCUGAUAGAUAGGCAUGCGUUCCAUUAGGCAGUUGGCGGGGUAACGGCCCACCAAACCGACGAUGGAUAGGGGUUCUGAGAGGAAGGUCCCCCACAUUGGUACUGAGACACGGACCAAACUCCUACGGGAGGCAGCAGUGAGGAAUAUUGGUCAAUGGGCGUAAGCCUGAACCAGCCAAGUCGCGUGAGGGAUGAAGGUUCUAUGGAUCGUAAACCUCUUUUAUAAGGGAAUAAAGUGUGGGACGUGUCCUGUUUUGUAUGUACCUUAUGAAUAAGGAUCGGCUAACUCCGUGCCAGCAGCCGCGGUAAUACGGAGGAUCCGAGCGUUAUCCGGAUUUAUUGGGUUUAAAGGGUGCGUAGGCGGCCUUUUAAGUCAGCGGUGAAAGUCUGUGGCUCAACCAUAGAAUUGCCGUUGAAACUGGGAGGCUUGAGUAUGUUUGAGGCAGGCGGAAUGCGUGGUGUAGCGGUGAAAUGCUUAGAUAUCACGCAGAACCCCGAUUGCGAAGGCAGCCUGCCAAGCCAUGACUGACGCUGAUGCACGAAAGCGUGGGGAUCAAACAGGAUUAGAUACCCUGGUAGUCCACGC